GACGAACGCUGGCGGCGUGCUUAACACAUGCAAGUCGAGCGGUAAGGCCCUUUCGGGGGUACGACGAGCGGCGAACGGGUGAGUAACACGUGGGUGACCUGCCCUCAGCUCUGGGAUAAGCCUGGGAAACCGGGUCUAAUACUGGAUAUGACUCCAUGACGCAUGUUGUGGGGUGGAAAGCCUUGUGCGGCUGAGGAUGGGCCCGCGGCCUAUCAGCUUGUUGGUGGGGUGANGGCCCUACCAAGGCGACGACGGGUAGCCGGCCUGAGAGGGCGACCGGCCACACUGGGACUGAGACACGGCCCAGACUCCUACGGGAGGCAGCAGUGGGGAAUCUUGCGCAGUGGGCGAAAGCCUGACGCAGCGACGCCGCGUGAGGGAUGACGGCCU
This 390-nucleotide ribosomal RNA is filed under the name uncultured bacterium. RNAcentral's name for it is "bacterial SSU rRNA". It matches the Rfam family "Bacterial small subunit ribosomal RNA", at positions 28 to 417 of the family's 1533-position model. The record is from RNAcentral.